Molecule: ribosomal RNA, 253 nt
Filed under: uncultured bacterium
Lineage: Bacteria
Description: partial 16S ribosomal RNA
Rfam family: Bacterial small subunit ribosomal RNA
Source: RNAcentral
UACGUAGGGGGCUAGCGUUGUCCGGAUUUAUUGGGCGUAAAGCGCGCGCAGGCGGCUUACCAAGUCGGUCGUGAAAUCUCUCGGCUCAACCGGGAGGGGUCGGGCGAAACUGGUAGGCUGGAGGAUGGUAGGGGGAAGCGGAAUUCCCGGUGUAGUGGUGGAAUGCGUAGAUAUCGGGAGGAACACCAGUGGCGAAGGCGGCUUCCUGGACCGACACUGACGCUGAGGCGCGAAAGCCAGGGGAGCAAACGGG